CCAAACUUGGUCAUUUAGAGGAAGUAAAAGUCGUAACAAGGUCUCCGUAGGUGAACCUGCGGAGGGAUCAUUACCGAGUGAGGGCCCCCGGCCCGACCUCCAACCCUUUGUUUGAAUGACCUCUGUUGCCUCGGGGGCGACCCGGGCCUCCGCCCGGCGCCCCCGACGGGCCAACUCUCCAACGCUGCAUCGUUGCGUCGGGUUUACAUGAGAAAUCGAAUUAAAACUUUCAACAACGGAUCUCUUGGUUCUGGCAUCGAUGAAGAACGCAGC
RNAcentral lists this unclassified non-coding RNA (273 nucleotides) under uncultured fungus. RNAcentral describes it as "partial contains small subunit ribosomal RNA, internal transcribed spacer 1, and 5.8S ribosomal RNA". The stretch from base 1 to 73 matches the Rfam family "Eukaryotic small subunit ribosomal RNA", at positions 1759 to 1831 of the family's 1831-position model. Lineage: Eukaryota; Fungi. The record is from RNAcentral.